Molecule: ribosomal RNA, 171 nt
Filed under: Simulium quinquestriatum
Lineage: Eukaryota; Metazoa; Arthropoda; Insecta; Diptera; Simuliidae
Description: partial 28S ribosomal RNA
Rfam family: Eukaryotic large subunit ribosomal RNA
Source: RNAcentral
UUAUACAUAGCCUCAACUCAUGUGAGACUACCCCCUGAAUUUAAGCAUAUUAAUAAGGGGAGGAAAAGAAACUAAAUAGGAUUCCCCUAGUAGCGGCGAGCGAAAAUGGGAAAAGUCCAGCACGUAGAAUCGCAACUGUUAUGGUUGUUGAUUGAUGCCGUGUAUAGGUUC